UAGUCUGGUGCCAGCAGCCGCGGUAAUUCCAGCUCCAAUAGCGUAUAUUAAAGUUGUUGCAGUUAAAACGCUCGUAGUCGGAUUUCGGGGCAGGUUUGCCGGUCUGCCGAUGGGUAUGCACUGGUAGAACUGUCCUUCCUUCCGGAGACGGCGCCUACUCUUAACUGAGCGGGUGUCGGAGACGGAUCGUUUACUUUGAAAAAAUCAGAGUGUUUCAAGCAGGCAGCUCGCUUUUGCAUGGAUUAGCAUGGGAUAAUGAAAUAGGACUUUGGUGCUAUUUUGUUGGUUUCGAACACCGAAGUAAUGAUUAACAGGGACAGUCAAGGGCACUCGUAUUCCGCCGAGAGAGGUGAAAUUCUUAGACCAGCGGAAGACGAACCACUGCGAAAGCAUUUGCCAGGGAUGUUUUCACUGAUCAAGAACGAAAGUUAGGGGAUCGAAGACGAUCAGAUACCGUCGUAGUCUUAACCAUAAACCAUGCCGACUAGGGAUUGGAGGAUGUUCCUAUGUGACUCCUUCAGCACCUUUCGGGAAACUAAAGUCUUUGGGUUCCGGGGGGAGUAUGGUCGCAAGGCUGAAACUUAAAGGAAUUGACGGAAGGGCACCACCAGGAGUGGAGCCUGCGGCUUAAUUUGACUCAACACGGGGAAACUUACCAGGUCCAGACAUUGUGAGGAUUGACAGAUUGAGAGCUCUUUCUUGAUUCGAUGGGUGGUGGUGCAUGGCCGUUCUU
This 733-nucleotide ribosomal RNA is filed under the name uncultured eukaryote. RNAcentral's name for it is "SSU rRNA". It matches the Rfam family "Eukaryotic small subunit ribosomal RNA", at positions 557 to 1295 of the family's 1831-position model. The record is from RNAcentral.